This is an RNA transcript of Brienomyrus brachyistius, 18548 nucleotides long. It is a transcript of the gene named chromodomain Y-like protein, with no coding region annotated. The record is from RefSeq and is a predicted model, not a curated record. The transcript has 20 exons. Lineage: Eukaryota; Metazoa; Chordata; Actinopteri; Osteoglossiformes; Mormyridae.
CCUAACUGAGCAUGUGCAGUAUGAGUAUCAUCACUCUAGCAUGUUUCUAAUUGGAGAAAUAAGACUUGAUGCAACGGUCCCCAGUCUCCACUACCAGGGAAACGCGACGCAAAUCCAACGUAUCGGCUUCUAUUACGCGAUGAGACCAGCGAGCCGGGUCACUAACUGAAAAAGGGCAUGUCCAUCACGCCACAUUUAACUCUGGUCCAAAAUGUCCGAGAAUGGAAAUCAAGCGACGGAAGCAGUGAGAAACCGGGUCUCCGGUGGUCACCCACGGAACAGCAGAACUGGUAGAUCACGAAGGAGACCAGGACAUAGAGAAGAGCAUAAAGAAACAUCAGAUGACUUCCAACCGCAGAAGGGAGCGGUCCCUUUAAAAACAGGUAGUACAUCUGCUCAAAACAAUGCCAAAAGAGGCUACCGCCAUUCUUCUCAGACAUUUCGUUCAGAGACUCAACCCAGUGAUGCUGCUUGGAAUCAAAUACAUCAUAGAUCCCAGAGUGGGUUGCACAGGAGCGGUGCAAGGCAAAAAGAGUAUACAUCUAGAAGGACCCAGCCACUUGUUUCCCAAAGGGCAGCCAGUCAACCUCAUCUGUUGAACAUCAAUGAUAAUGGAAGUAAGGCUCUCUCAGACCAUUGCAAAAAAGUCCACAGAAGUCAAAAGUUGGAUAUGAGAGCACUUGAGACAAUUCUACAAAUGGAGCCAUCUGAAAUAGUCAUGAAACUGGCAGCACCAGGCAGCGGUUUGAACAAUUUACUAAACACAGAAGAACAAACCAGUGACGCUGUCUUAUCUAAAAUUCUUGAUGUUCUCGGCAAAGCAUGCAGCAGUCGAACUAAUAGGCAGAACUUGCAGCAUCUUCUUGUUGAGGUGAAAGAGUCUAAGUUUGUGAAAUGUUUAUUGCCCCUGUUUAUUGUGAACAUAGAUAAACCCAAAGACCAAGUGGAGAUGGAAGGUACCAUAGAUAAACUCAACAAAAUAAUGGACCUCUACUUAACAUUAGUGGACAUCUUCCCAUCAAGUACUACUGUGGUUGUAUCCCUUGGUCUUGCAGUUUUGGAGCCUCAAAUGUCAAAACUGAAAAGCUAUGCAGGCACCAGUGUUCUAGAGGAAACACAAAAUAAGGUGGAGAAGCUUCAGAUGAUAAUUACACAUCUGAAAAACAAGAAAAGUGAAAAAACUUUUAGGUCAGACAGUUACACUUUGCUUUUGGAAGACUAUGAUGAGUCAAGUGUUGAAAAUUUCAGGGUCAUGUCAAUAUUUCCAAGUUUUGGAGAUAUACACACGACCCAGAAGCCAUUCAUUAGGCCCAACAUCAUCACUGAGAAGUUUGUAGACAGUGACACCUACCUGGACACGCACUUCCGGCUUCAGAGGGAAGACUUUGUUAAGCCCUUGAGAGAUGGAAUUUCAUAUCUCCUAAUGGGCAAUGAGAAUGAUAAAAUUCCACAAAACCUUGACAUUCGAAUUUAUUUGAAUGCCUUCAUUACUUCUCCUGUAUGUACUCCAAAAGGAAUCUUGUACCAAAUUAAGUUUGACACAAAGAACUUGAAAUAUGUCAACUGGGAGAGCUCGAAGAGGCUCCUCUAUGGAGCGUUGGUUUGCCUGUCUAUGGACAAUUUUAGAACAAUGAUUUUUGCCACUGUUGGCCACAGAGAUAUAAAAGAACUUAAACGAGGUGUUGUAAAUGUCUUCUUCAAUGAUGAGAAUAGGGUGAGACUUGCAAAUAUCUCUCAAAAGAAGGCAUUCUUAAUGGUCGAGACAACAGCCUUUUUUGAAGCUUACAGACAUGUCCUUGAAGGUCUACAGGAAAUAAAUGCAGAAGACCUGCCAAUGCAGAAGUAUAUUGUAAAGUGUGAAUCUCACAUCACUCCUCCUAAGUAUCUACAAGACAAUGGAGGCAAUUUUAGUCUUUGGGCACUAAUGAAUGAAAAGCCUGCACUUCAAUGUAGAAGGAUUCAACGGCCAGUUCAUCAGAGGCAACUUUUGGGAAAAGAGAAGCAUGUGAAGAAUAUUUUAAAUUUGGAUAAUUGGCCCAGUAAAGAGAAUCUCAGACUAGAUACUUCUCAGAUGAAGGCUGUGCAGCUGGCAUUGACAAAGGAACUUGCCAUAAUCCAAGGCCCCCCAGGAACAGGGAAGACUCAUGUUGGUCUUAAGAUUGUCAAGGCACUCCUGGAUAAUGCUGAGGUCUGGGGCAUUGGUUGUCGCAGGCCUAUUCUGGUCGUUUGCUACACAAACCAUGCAUUGGACCAGUUCUUGGAAGGCAUCCACAAGUUCAUGACAAAUCCAGCUGGGAUGGUGAGAGUUGGGGGACGAUCCUCCAGCGACGUUAUCAAAGACUGUUCUCUCAAUAAAUUGAGAAGCAUCCACAAUUCAAGGGCUUGUUUACCUGGACACCUAAAAGCUAUGCAUUCGGAUCUUAAAGAAGAGAUGAAAAAGGCUGAGAAGGAAGUUGGACGAAAUGCUUCUUUGCUUGAAAUCUCUGAAAAUGGAAUUCUGGGAGAGUCUGUCCUGCAGGACCACAUCGUAUCUCUUCAUGGAAGCAGCCUGGAAGCUGGAAGGCCUUUGGAAGAGUACUAUGUGGGGAGUGAGAGGCAGCAGUCUGUGAUUUUAGAGUGGCUUGGAAUCUCCGUGAUUAACAGUGGUCCGCACUGCAUGGACAGGAGCAAUGGAGCCGGUGGGAAUGCUGAAGGCGCCACCCAGGAGAAAGGCUUAGCACAAGAACUUGAAUGCCUGUCAUUGUCUCCUCAAGCGGAGUGUGGAGACAAUGUUGGGGAGGCCCUGAUGGAUGCAGUUAAUGAUGACGACACCCUAGAUUGCUUUGAGCGGGAGCAGGCCCAGAGAAUGAUGGAAGGAGACAAUAUUGAGAAGCACAUCCAGAGCGCUAAAAACAGGAUCGUCACCAUGGAGAGAGAAGCCAUGGCCUGUAUGCUUAAGGGGGAUGAGGAGGAAGAGCUCAGAGAUAAAAAUGAAGAGGGUGAUUACGACCAAGAGUGGGAAAUAAGUAAAGAAAUGAAGAAGAGGUUGAAACGGUUCAUAAAGGCCGAGCUUAAGAAGACUGACCACAUAACAGAGACGGAGGCUUUGAAGAUCUCUGACCUCUGGGCUCUGCCCAGCACACAGCGGUGGAGCCUCUACCGACUUUGGCUCUCCUUGUUCCGGCAAGAUCUGAAGGAAAAGCUUCUGGAAUCUGAGAACAACUUCCAGAGAAUAACCGAGCGCCUGGAUGAACUAAGAAAUGCUGAGGACACGAUGAUCCUGAAGAAUGCCAGCAUCGUUGGCAUGACGACUACAUGUGCUGCCAGAUACCGGAAGGUUCUGCAAGGCAUUCAGCCCAAGAUUGUGGUGGUGGAGGAAGCUGCGGAGGUUAUGGAGGCACACAUUGUGACGGCGCUGAGCCCAGGCUGCGAGCAUCUCAUCCUGAUCGGAGACCACCAGCAGCUUCGCCCCAGUGCUACAGUCUAUCAACUUGCCAUUAAAUUCAAUCUGGAGGUGUCGUUGUUCGAGAGGCUGAUCAAAAUGAAAAUCCCAUAUGUUCGUCUUGACUAUCAGCAUCGCAUGAGACCGGAGAUUGCACGUCUGCUUACACCAUAUAUCUAUGACCAGCUGGAGAAUGAUUCUUCGGUCUAUGAGUAUGAAAACAUCAAGGGUGUCACUUCAAAUGUCUUCUUUGUGGAACAUGAGCACUUGGAAGAGAACAUCUCUGAAGGCCGAAGUCACCAGAACAAGCACGAGGCCACCUUUGUCAAGGCCCUCUGCUAUUACUUUAUCUGUCAGGGGUAUAAACCUUCCCAGAUUACAGUUCUUACCACAUACACCGGUCAGCUCUUUUGCCUGAAAAAGAUUAUGGAUAAGAAAAAAUUUGGUGAUGUUAAACUGUCUGUUGUAGAUGGAUACCAGGGAGAGGAGAAUGAUAUAAUAAUACUGUCCUUGGUUAGAAGCAAUAAGGAAGGAAAGGUGGGUUUCCUGAGUAUACCGAACCGCGUCUGCGUUGCUCUGUCGAGGGCGAAAAAGGGCCUGUUCUGCAUCGGAAACAUGUCGAUGCUUUCUGCCGUCCCACUGUGGGGCAAGAUCAUAAAGGAGCUCAGGAGUCACGAGGAGAUUGGCGAAGCGUUGAACCUGCGCUGCGAGAACCAUCCCGGCACCAUCACUGCCGUGUCUGAGGAAGCAGACUUCUUAAACGUUCCCCUAGGGGGAUGCUCCGUGCCCUGUGAGCAUCGGCUCGACUGUGGCCAUGUUUGCCCCAGGCUCUGCCACCCGGUUGAUGACCACAAGCAGUAUAAAUGCAUGAAGCCCUGCACCAAGACACUAUGUCAGUUCGAACACAAGUGUCCGAAGGUGUGCUCAGUCAUUUGUGGGAAAUGCAAGGUGCUUGUCGCUAAGAUAAUUCCCAAAUGUAAUCAUGAGCAGCUUGUUCAUUGCUCAGUUGAUCCAGAGGAGUUUGUCUGUACUGUUCCAUGCAGAAAGACCAUACAGUGUGGCCAUGCCUGUAUCCGCAAAUGUGGGGAAACUUGCACAUCCCUUUGUUCCCAGGAUGUCACUGUAGAGCUUGACUGUGGUCAUCAAAGAGUCUUGCCAUGCCACGUAAAGCAGGAGGUUGACCGCAAACAGGGGAAAAUCCAGUGUUUGGAAAAAUGUAAUUCUCAGUUGGACUGUGGCCACAUGUGCACUGGGAAAUGUUUCCAGUGCAACAAUGGAGCCACGCAUAUUCCGUGUGUCGCUCAGUGUGAAGUUCAGCUGAUCUGCUCACACUGUUGCAAGGAGAAGUGCGGGGCGAGCUGCGUUCCCUGUGUGCAGCCUUGUCAAAACAAAUGCGUGCAUCAGAAGUGCUCAAGGGUGUGCAGCGAGGCUUGUCAGCCUUGUACCCAGCCCUGCCCCUGGCAAUGUAGGCAUCAGCGCUGCACUCGGCUGUGCCACGAGCCCUGUGACAGACCCCCCUGCCAGAUGCCUUGCUUGAAUCAGCUGCCCUGCCAGCAUCAAUGCAUUGGAAUGUGCGGUGAACCGUGCCCGGAUAAGUGCCGGAUCUGUCAUGCCGGGUACGUGCAAGAGCUCUUCUUUGGGAAAGAAGCUGACCCAGAAUCUCGCUUUGUACAGCUGUCAGACUGCAGGCAUAUUUUCGAAGUGACUGGUUUCGACUCUUGGAUGGAGUCUCGGGAAGGGAACAGAAUCAAGUUUAAGAUUUGCCCCAAAUGCCACAUACCUGUCCUCAGGACCGUGCGAUACGGCGCCGCGGUCAAACUUCUGCUGUCUGACAUCGAGUUGUUGAAGAGUAGGGCAGCCAAGAUGUAUUCAGAGUACAUUAAAGACUCUGUGACAAGGAGGAUAAAGCAGGGGAUAAAUUGCCAGUUUUUUUCCCUUCUCCUCCCCAGGUUAGAAGAUCACUUAGAAUUAAGUGGAGUUCACAAUAUUCACAGACAGGUUAUACUUCUAUCCCAACUGGCUGAUAUAACCCUGAACACAGCUCAUCUGCCGGUAAACCUGAAGGUCCGAAUCAACCGGAAGGUACAGACGUGCAGUGAAAAUGUCACCCGUGCGACGCAGUUAGGCUGGGUGCAUGAGAACAAUGUCAGGAGGAUUCAGGUCUUGGCCGAAGCUCUGGUGUAUUCGGACAGACUGGAUCCUUCCCAAGAUGAUGUGUCACCGGCGUUCGUGCAAGAGCGAAAGUCGCUGGAUGACAUCCUCCAUAGACUAAGUGAUGAGAAGACAGAGGUGAACCUUAAUCAUAUACGUCUCACUCUCCAUAGCAUUUCAGAGAAUGUGAAAGCACUGAUUGAGUGGCGGACGUUGGAAGAAUCAGAUGUCAGCGCCGAUAUCUGUAGUUGUCUGAAACUCAGCCACUGGUCCAAAUGUACUGAGGGACACAUUUACUACAACCGGUCAGCUGACGGUGUACAGGAGACUUUUUGUUGCCCAGAAUGCUUAACCAUCUAAACAAAUUGCAUUAAUCUUGCAUUAAAACAGCACUUAGACAAUACUAUUCAAUUCAUCCUCAGAUCUGUAACAUCUGUAACUGCGCUGUUUGAGCUGAGAUAAGAUGCAUCUUAAUAUCGAUAAAUAUAGCAAAAAGACUUUACCACAGGAUGAUGUUUAGUGCAUUAUUUUGCUAAGUUACUGCUAAUGUAGCACAUUCAUUUUUUUUUGCUUUAGUCUUUUAAUGUGAUAGUUGCACAAAAUCCGGGUUUUCGUUCGACCUGAUGAUUAUCUUACUCCUUAAAUCUGUUUUUUGAUUUGACCAGAGCACAUGGAAAUUUGUUACCGUUGUGUGCAAUUUAAAGGGACUUCGGAGACAGCAGCUGCAUCAAGUCUCUGCCUUCUGCACUCCCACACGCCUCAUACUGUACACACAACACAGUGCAGUCUCCAGAUCACAAGCUGGAGUAUCCACACCCUCAGAGUGAGACCAAUUGCACUAGGUCGAUGCGGAAUUUAUUGCAAUAUUUUUCAUAAUUAUUGCUCCAGUGUUAACUUGCCCUUGUUUAUUCAGAACCCGAUCCUCAUGCUGUGAAUAGUUGUCAGAUUCCUGGAUCGUUUUAUAAUGUUUUGCUUAACUCCAGUUCUGUAAUGUUAACAUGCACUUGUUUGUAGUUGUUCACUAGAAGCUUAGCCUAGCAACAUUUUAUACCGAAGCUGAUUUCUUCAUGACUUCAGUGCUUGGGAUGCACUGAAUGCUUCAUUUGUACAUCACUUGCGACAAAAGGGUUUGCGAAGCAAAGAGAUAAUAAAUGAAUGAAUGAAUGAAUGAAAGUAUCCAAGUGUGAUGGCCCAGUGGCAGUACAUUAAGAUGCAUUGCAUGAUGCAUGAUUUGGGAUUCAAAAAGACACCAAACCGUCAACAUAAUCUUUUAAAAUAUCUCAAAUGCUCUUUUUGUAAUAAAAUCAUUUUAUGCAGCCAUUUUUAUUCUAUACUGACUUUCGGUGGCACUGGUGGGUAAUAUCAGAACCUCAGGGUUGGCUAUUUGAAUCGCAGCCCUUCUAUGUGUAUGGCAGUUUCACGUUUUCUCACGUGUGUCUGUCACAGUCCAGUUGCUCGCAUUUCGGAACACUGGCACCCAUGACAACACACUCACAGUUCAACAAGAUUGUAGCCCUUCAGCCUUGCAGAUCAGGCUUCUUUAGUGAAUCUUCAGACCCGAAGCACAAAUUAUGGGGUCAUAUUGUGACGUCAGGUGGACCAAGGCAUCGCAGGAGCAGAGAGAGACACGGACACUCACUUGCUGGGGAGAACACUCUCUUUAUUAGUAGCACUGAAAAGGAGUACAUCAGGCACUCAACAAGCACCAGACCAGUUACACAUAAGAAACAUAAAGUUGUCAGAUGCUGAACUGUAAGAUACACAUAUGGUGGGACUGGACAGGGCACACACAAGAUAUAUAUAUGAUUAAAUGACCUAACAAGAUUAUCUGCUUUACAUACUACAAAAACAUUUUUUCCCUCCAUCCUGUAGGAAAUUACUAUGUAGAAACACCAAUCUUAUACUAAAGUUGACUCUUUGACAGCUGCCUGCUCAUGAUGUUCUAUCUGUCUAACAGAUACAUAACUUUGGACAAAAGCUACUGUGGAAAGAAAAUUGGACAUCAGUAGGCCUGGGAGGGGAGGCAUAUUGGGUGUGUUAUGUCUUAGCCCUUAGGCAAAGAGAGAUGUUUGGUAUACUGUGUGUCCUUGUCUCAACAGGUGCACAGAGAGAUGUAGUUAUAAAGUAGUCGCAAUAAGUCUACGCAAUGUGUAAAUGUAUAAGUAGUUAUCACAUUAAUCAUAUGUUAACCAUGUAUUUACAGUAAAUCUGUAUCCAUAUAUCAAGUAGUAGUCUAGUGGUUGAGACAUGUUUUGGGAAAUUGCGCAAAAUGGGUGGAUUUUCCCUUGCUACCAAGGGGAACCAGUAGAGCAGGAGAAUCGUGUUUGUUAUACGUUUGAGCUCGGUUUGUUGGUGUUCUGGGUGCUCGGUAGUGAUGUAUCGGUCGUGAUCGAAACGGCUCUCGGAGCCGACUGAAGUGAACGAUCGGAGCCGGCUCCCGCCUGUGAGCCGGACUCAAUCGCUUUUUUUCUUUUUUAAUUUUUUUUUUCCACCCGCACAGAUUGGUUAACCACACGAUGCAUGUCUGCUCUGAGCAGGACGGGGAGGGGCGGUGCUACAGGGUGCGUUCGACUUGGGCUUUAAGUCUUAAGUCGUCUUGCUCUCGUGAGGUUUUUGUACAUGGUGACGUUUUCCAGCGCCGGCUGAAGUCGGACAAAAAAAUCUAACCAUGAUGUAUUGCUUUAAGCCAGUGCUGCAAACGGCUGCGUGAAGUCAAACGCACCCAUAGACAAAUACAGCAAUCGCAGGCACAGACAGAGAAACAGGAGGGAAGGAGACGCACGCGACAAAAUGAAUGACUGCAGGAAACGGAGUAAAAUUUGGAUACAUUUCAAUUACAUUGAUAAUACACAAAGGCAGAGUGUAGAGCGUGCAACGUUAAAAUCUCAUCGAACAGGCUCUACAAAUAACCUGCAUUGGCACCUGAGAACUGUGCAUCCAUCAGUGCAGUGGGAAGAAAAAAGACAAGCAAGUGAACCUGCUACUAAUGAAAGAGACAGUUUGUCUACUGCAGUUUGUCAAUGUCUACACCGUCAUCCAGUACAGCACCACAACCACCUAGACCUACAACCUAGAGCUCUAUGAGACCGUUUGUGCAAAAAGCUAUGACUCCAGUAAAACAGAAAACAAUUGAUGAGGAAUUGGCUAAAAUAAUUGCACAUGAUUUCCAACCAUAGUAAUUCAUUUCACUAAUAAUUUUACAUUAUUUUUGGUGAUAAAUUCAUUUAAGCACCAAAACAAUCUGAAGAGCCACUUUUAAGAGCCGGCUCUCUUAAAAGAGCCGGAAUUCCCAUCACUAGUGCUCGGGUACUUGGUACCUGGUGCCAGAGUGUGACUGAAGCACUUUGCUGGAUUGCUUGAAUAAAGGAGAUAACUUUGCUCACCAACUGAGAGGUCCGGAGUUGUUUUAUUCUAAAUGGCUAAACUAGAGUCAUGGGAUAGGUUGAUUUAUAAUUUUUCCUCCAUACUACUGAAAACUAAACAAAUGUAAAUGCGAGGUAAAUAGGUCACAAAAUUCAGCUCUCUGUUCACAUCGUCUACAGGAGUCAGGUGUAUCACUACAGUGCUUCAUUCUCCAAGCACCUCUGCUGUGUUCAUAGUGAGCAUGAAUUUUUUCACACCCAUUCAUGGAUUUUGCCCACUUAUGGAGCUCCCCAAUGUUCUGCUAUUGGAGCAAAGAGUACUUGAAGGGCUCCUGUUCAAGUGGCUUACCUCCUGAGAGGAAGAUGGACUUCAUUUUCUCGUUUAAUUUUGACCUUGAUGUAUACUGAAUUGAUCCACCGAUUUCUUACAGAGGGGCGGCAUGGUGGUGCAGUGGUUAGCACUGUUGCCUCACACCUCUGGGACCCGGGUUCGAGUCUUCACCUGGGUUACAUGUGUGUGGAGUUUGCAUGUUCUCCCCAUGUCGUCGUGGGGUUUCCUCCGGGUACUCCGGUUUCCCCCCACAGUCCAAAAACAUGCUGAGGCUGAUGGGAGUUGCUAAAUUGCCCAUAGGUGUGCGUGUGAGAGUGAAUGGUUUGUGAGCGUGCCCUGCGAUGGGCUAGCCCCCCAUCCUGGGUUGUUCCCUGCCUCAUGCCCAUUGCUUCCGGGAUAGGCUCCGGACCCCCUGCGACCCAGUAGGAUAAGCAGUUUGGAAAACGGAUGGAUGGAUUUCUUACAGAUUUCUAUAGAAACGGUGUUGUUGCUAUGUCAGUCAAUAACAGCUUGCGCGGCUGCACUGCGUUUUACUACCAUCAAGUGGUAACAGUCCCAAAGUACAACUGAUCCGAUUGAUGUCAAUCUCAGUAAUGCCUUUAACCACUCUCAUCCACUUUUUUCAAUCACAUUAACCUACAUUUCAAGGUGCAUUCAAAAAAUUGUCUUUGAGCUUGUGUAUUGGUCAUAAUCAAUUUAAUUUAGAAUGAUCGUUAUUUGUGUUCCAAGUGGACUUGGCAUCCUAUCCAGGGUGUUCCCCUGCCUUCUGCUAUGUGUUUCCUGGGCCAGGAUCCAGGCUCCCAAUCCAUAACCAGGUCUUGGUUUUUUUGUACAUCCAUUAUUAAAUCAUGAGACACAGGCAUAAUUUUAAAUGGGUGUUUUUACUGAAAUUCACUACUUUUUAAAACAAGUUUUAAACCUUUUUAAAAAGGUUAUUCAAUUUUUAUAUUUUAAGAAGAAUUUGUUAAAACUAUUCCUUUUUCAGAAUUUCCAUAAACAAUUUUCCUGUUUAAAAUGUGUUUUAUUGUCUAAAAAGCAUUUAUUGUCUAAGUUGAAAUCUACUUGGGGCGGCAUGGUGGUGCAGUGGAUAGCACUGUUGCCUCAUGCCUCUGGAACCCGGGUUCAAGUCUCCAUCUGGGUCACAUGUGUGUGGAGUUUGCAUGUUCUCCCCAUGUCGUCGUGGGGUUUCCUCCGGGUACUCUGGUUUCCCCCCACAGUCCAAAAACAUGCUGAGGCUAAUUGGAGUUGCUAAAUUGCCCGUAGGUGUGCAUGUGUGAGUGAAUGGUGUGUGAGUGUGCCCUGCGAUGGGCUGGCCCCCCAUCCUGGGUUGUUCCCUGCCUCGUGUCCAUUGCUUUCCGGAUAGGCUCUGGACCCCCCACAACCCAGUAGGAUAAGUGGCUUGGAAAAUGUAAGGAUGGAAAUCUACUUUUUUGUCUAUUGGCCAAUUAUCUGCUUCAAAUUGUUUGCAGUUAAUUAGCAAACGUGCCAGUUUUGAUGACAGGUACGUUGUAAUCGUACAACAAUUACAAUUACAGCCCCUGAGUGUAGAAAAGGGCUGCCCAUUUACAUCUAAGCGGUAUUUAUCUUUCAAGGUCUUGAUGUCUGGGUGACGAAUCUCAAUGUUCACAUCUACACCCUCAUUCGUACAUCUGCCAUGAGGCUUAAGAUUUCUGGUUUGGUUUCAAGGCCAUUCCAGGACACAAAUAUAAUAAUGAUAAAAAUAUAAAUCCGGAAAUAGUGAAAUAAGGGUUAGGUAGUGUGUUUUUGUGCAGCACCUAUCGCCCCGUUCUCUGACCAGGAGGUGCUGUUCUGAUGUUUUAUGUGAGCAAAUGUUGCACAGAUGUCAAAUACAGCAAUAAUGUUCCCGCUUUGCAUUAUAACCUAUUUUUCCCGGUUAACUGCUCUGCUACACUGAUUAUUAUUCGGCGUCCCCUGAAAUACAACAAAAGCAGCAAUAUAGUAAUUUCCCCCGUUCCAGUGCAGGGUUUGCAGAGUUAGCCUGGAGUCUCACUGCAUACUCACACUGCAGGCAGUUUUGGGAUACCGGAUCACCUGCCCACUUCUUUUUUGACUGAGGGAAGAAGCCAGAGUACAUGGAGGAAUCCCAUGAAAACUUGGAGAACAUGUGCAAAGCCCAAAGUGCUGAGGGUGGGACGCAGUGGACCUGAUCCUGGAGGUGAGACGCAGUGGACCUGCCCGCCAGACUCCUCAUUUUAUCAUCUGCAGAGCUGUAUCUAACUGGUGUUUUCUAUUCUGCAUGGGGAAUCUGCUGUUUCCUGUAGCUACACUGCAAAUAGAAAAUCUAAGCAAGUACUCUAUAUUCUAACCUCAUAAAUAAACUGACUAACAACACACCUUACGAAUAAGAUUAAUUUGCUUGCAUUUAGGCGUAUUGUCUUAUUUUAGGGAAUCUUACCAAGUGCAAUUUUCUUACUGCACUGGCAGAUAAUUUUGCUAGUUUUGUGCCUUUUGCACAAAACUGAAAAAUCUUACAUUCGAAAGGCCAUUUUUUUUGCGGUGUAAGAUAAUGCUGUUUUUACACGUGCAAAUAAGUUGGGAAAAUUAUUAAAUCUACUCGGUUAAUAAGUAAAUGCAGUCUGGGGAAAAAAGUGGCCUAUAGUGUAACGUUAUGCAAUUCGGGUUUGGCCCAUAUUUUUCGCCCAGGAAUGUAAACUCAGAAACAUUUUCAGCCUGGAGUUUUCCUCCAGACAGGAGUUGCUUUGUCAGUGUUAAUACCAUCUCCUUCCUCAGGGACAGUAGAGAAUGGAGUAGCUUUCACUUUGAUUCAUGCCAGCUGUCCUCUAAACACUCCGCGUCGGUACCCUUGCGUUUAUCUCUGCCCUCCUCCAACCUGUGCUCAGAGAUCCCAAGAUCCCAUGCGGUAAUUUUUACCGCAGGCUAGCCAUAACGGCGAACUGAGGAAUAUGAUGUCAGGCCUGAACACGGUGUACAAGAACAGCACUAACGGGACACGGAGAAUCUUAUUAAAUGCAAAUGGAGGCCCAGCCAGACACUGGUGUCCCUGGAAACGAGCUCGGUUCCAUUCCUUUUGCAAGUUGUAGUUGUUCCAUCUGCUUUUAAUAUACUUUCUCUACUUGUGCUUCAUACAGGGAAAAAAAACACAGAAAUUGUGGUGGACCAGCUGUAAGAGGACAACACAUUGACCCUGUGGGCAUUAAAAACUACCAAUAACUGCCAGGAGUACACUGGAAAGGCUAUUAACCAGUUCCCUAAAAAAUACUUUUAGGAAAUAGAAUUCUUCUGGUUGCAAUGUUUGUUAUUGCAUUCAGGCACACUUAGUGAGGACUCCAAAUUCAUUUGUGACAAAGAAUAACAAAAGAUACUUCUGAUACACAACUAAAUACAGUGGGCCUACAGCCUAGAUGACCCCCACCACCACCACCAGCAGCAUCUAGUCUGGCAGUGUCGCCACCUGCUGGUCUCCCGAUGACAUUAUUUCUGAUGCACUGCACUUCUUCACUUACUCCAGUUAACUCAGUUAAAAAUUGAAAGAGCAUUUGUUAUUGGUUAUUUUGCAACACAAAUAGUUAAAAGCAAAGAUUAAAGGUUAUCCAUUUGGGCUUUGAGUAAUUGGUUCGUAGGGUAUAAUGUAACCUGCAUGGUGCACUAGUGCAUAAAAGUAUUUAUAUAGUUAACUCGCCUACCACUUUACUGUUUUGUGUAUUCAGAACACAGGCAGCUGAUCGGCGUUUAGCCAGUGUCGUCAUCUGUUGCAGCACUUAAGAUGGCACCUCUGACCCUCUGGCACCUCCCUGCCCCCAGCCUGCUCCCUCCAGGCUCGGGCACCAGGAUGGUUCAUCAUCAGCCAUGAUGGAGGCACUGGCCUCCCAGUGGGCAGGAGCAGAGGGGUACCAGCUGGAUGGACUGGGGGGGUAUAUUUGCCUCGGUGUGGGGGGCGGAGGGCAGUAAACAACUAAGCAACAUUGAUGAGAGAUUUAUAAAAUGAUAGAUGUUUAUCCGUCUUCGAGUCCGACUGGAUCCGAUUCUGUUGUCCCUGAAAGGAAGCACAUUUUUUCAAAUUAAACAGGAAGAACAUCAAUGACUCCCCUUUGCCAUAAUGGAGUACUGAAUUCAGAUUUCUGCAAAUUCUGCUGGCUGUGUUUGCAGCUUGAGCUCCGGGGGAUCAGAGAAUGAUCUACCAUUGUGUUAGCUGUUCACACGUGCUCAGCUGUCACUGUGUUCAAAGCACAGGCGGUCAGAGCACGCACUCCAAGACGUCCUGUCCGUGAUGUCCCCUGCUGUGAUGGCGUUUAUGUAGCGGAACGUUUUGUCCAGAACAACAUAGAUGGUAGGAUUACGAGGGGUGAGGGAGAAGGUCCUGCUGGGGUUAAAGGGCUAUGCUCAGGGGUCCGUUGGUGGUAUGAUAAUUCUCCCAAGAUUCUGCAAAUGCACCAGAAAAACAGUUAACCCAGCAUUCAGAGACCAAACCUCACCCUCACCUGUAAAAUGUCUCUGUGUGUUUCUGAUUGGAGAGCAAGAUGGGAGUUGCAAACACUGGGUAUCAUUACAUUUGUAUUUGUAUGACGACAAGGCAUUCUAUUCUAUUAUCCACAUCUGAAUGCAGGGUUUGUCAGCUGAUUUCCUCCUGCCCAGAGUCAUCCAAUUCCCCACUCAUAAAAACAAAGACAAGAAAAAAUAUUUUAUACACUAUUUUAUAUGUUACACAGUAUACUCUAUAUAUUUUGCAUCUUUUGUAUAAUACUAGUGUAUUAUUACACAUAUACAUAUUAUGUGCAUUGGAAACAUACACACUGCUAUAUACCUUAAACGUUGUCCUUAGGUGUUAAAAAAGAAUCAAAUGAAUAAAAUGUCACGAUCGGUGAGCGCGGGUAAAGCGCAGGCAGGCAGAAAGCAGGCGGGCCGGCAAAAGACGGGAAAACGGGGAUUUAUUUGGGCACCGGGGUGCAGGAAACAUCUGACGCAGACUAACAUCAAUGACAGACCAGGAACCACGGCAAGCCGCGGACUGAAAUACACAAGACGGAGCAAAAUAACUAGACACAGCUGGGUACGAUCGGGGAAGCACACGUGGAUAAUCAGGGGGGCGUGGCGCACACGAGGAUCGUACGAGCUGGGCGUGACACACAAUACCUUGAAGGCGGUUCUGGAUUUUCUGCAAGGUACCUAUCUGAAACAUUUAAGGACAGGUCUCCGUUCCAUAGGUUGUACUUUGGGACCGCUGUUAAUUAUGUGUGUGACAGAAGCAUGACAUCAGUAUUGCCCACACCCCCCGCCAUGCAAUGUGUAACAGGCACUGUCUCCAGGUUUCAAACCGCAAUGCAUGUUCCUGCUUGUAUGUCUAUCUGCAUGGGUUUCCUUCAGGUACUGCAGGCACCUGCUGCAGCAGUAUAAAAUAAAUUGCUCUAGAAUUUUAAAUUAGUCAUAGUGUAUGUGUGUGUGUGUGUGUGUGUGUGUGUGUGUGCUCUGCGAUGGACUGGCAUCCCAUCCAUGGCAUCCACAGCCCUGUGCCCUGCACUUCCUGUCGAAGAUGUCAGACCCCCACAGCCUGAUCCUGGAUAAGCCUUUAUGAAAAACAGAAUGAAACAAUGCAAAAACUAGACGUCCAUGUUGUUUUUCUAGCAGUGUAAGUCAGCAGGCUGCCCCAUUGCUACAGCUUGGAACAUCAUCAUCAUUCUAUUAUGAUCUGUGGCUUGCAAAAUCUCAUUAGGAUGGGCUUAUAAUAUUCUAAUGAAUGUUACCUGUCAUACGUGUGAACCCGUAGUGGAAAAGCAGUUGCAUAGACAGAUUAAUACCUGCAAGCUUAGUCCAGUAUUUUGUGUACCCUCACUGAACCCCUUAAACUGACAUUCAGAUUUGGGAUGGGGAACAUGUACGUUUCGGAAUACUUGGGGAAAUUAGGCUGCUAGUGGGUUGGUUUUGCCAGACUGAGGGACUUCAGGGUCAGAAUACAGAAGUGGGACAGAGUGUGUUCAUUAGGGUCCGCUAGUGCAUGUGGGUAACAAUCCUGCCCCCAUAUGGCGCUAAUGAGCUCAGGGGUGAAGCGCAGGCAGUAAACCUGGAACUGUUUUAGUUGAUUUGCCAGCAAUAACUUACACUUUCUGGCCAUUUAUACAGCUAAGGGCAGGGUUAAGAAUCCUAUCCAAAGUACCAGGCCACUACUAGGAUUAGAGCAGGUAACCUUCACGUCAAGUGCAUAAAUGAGUCAGAGACAUGAACAGAGCCACUGACGUAUUCAUUAUUAUUAUCACUUAUGUUUAAUAUAAGGGGAUGACGAAGUGGCUGUACUCUUCUGGGGUUUAAUCCCACCCCUGCUCUGGGUGUGGGUUUCUUCUGGUCAUUCCAAUUUACACCCCCAGUCCCCAAUACAUGUAAGCCAUCACCUGGAUAAGCAGUUCAAAGAGGAAUGCAUUUCUGAUAAAUGCGUGUAUAACAUCAGUUUUACAGGUACAUUAUAGCUAAAACAUAUUUCGCGUCCAAGAUAAUAUAGGUACGACAACCUAACAAAUUUGCAGCAGAUUAACGAUUUAAUAUUUGUUUCUCACCAAAAAAGAACAGCCUGAAAAACAGGCUAAAGUGUCAAAAAUACGUUCAACCAGUUAAUUAAGCGAGUUGCUCGAUCGCAAUUCUAAAUAAUAAUUAAAUGCUCGCGAUUUGAAAGGGUUUAUUUUCCGAGUUUCCCUCCUUAUAUUCGAGAAAGUGACUUUUGAGAGCUGCUGGUCUGGCACAAAGGCUCCCUGCGCUCAGCCGAGCACCCCCGCAGCCGGGAACACAUGCCGGUCACGUGACGCCGAGCCCAGUCUGCCGGGAGGGACCCGCACGCGCUGCCGAUCCCCUCCUUUCGCCCCGCACCCUGUCCCGUUUUUAUAAACUUGUCACUAAACGGCGCCGCGCGGCAGGAGCACAGCUCGGGAGCAUGUGGCGUCCCUCGCUUAUCUGAGCUCGAUUAGGACUCCCUGUGCUGCAGGGCUGAGGAGCUUGGCCGGGUUCAGCGCGCGGCCGCCGCCGCCUCCGUGCGCGGUCACAGUGGUUCGGAGAAGCGGAGCCGGAGCUCCAGCGGCAGAACGGGGUGGACGCGGGGCGCCCACGGCGGUUAGCUGCCCAGACCAAACCCGGCGCAGGACUGUCGCCCUAGUAUAACUGGCUGAUUGGGCUGGCCGCGGAGGUGAAGAGCGUGAAGAAAGUAAGGAAACCGACCAUUAGGAGUACGGCGACUGGGAGAAGAAAAAGUGUCUUCGGUCACGUCAAACAUCCCAAAGUAUCAAGGCGGAAUGGCCUCGGAAGAUCUGUACGAGCAGACACCCACAAGAUGGAAAAUUAGCCAAGGAAACCUGCAAAGCUGUCCAUCCUUGCCCAUUUUGGUGAGCCACCUCCUACAGCCACGCCUGGAAAUCACAGAGCUGUAUGUAAGCAAUGCAAUGCAGCUGACUGAGGUUCCACCACGGACACUUCAAAUUUCAAAGGACAUCUACAGAAGAAGCAUCCUGAACUUCUGGUGAAGCCUGAACCCAGUGAUGACCCAGUCACCCCUAACCAGACUGUUAUAGAUACUGCACCUGCUGAGCCCGAGGCUAGCUCUAAAUGGGUCGUGGUUCCAAUACCAACAGAUAGUCGUCAAGUUCCUCUGACAGACAGCAUUGUGACAUAUAUUGUAAAUGGACUCCUUCCCCUCUCUACUGUAGAAAAUAAGGAUUUCAUCACAAUUUUGCAAUUGGCUGAACCCUUCUUUACAAUGCCUUCUCGGAGAGACCUCACCCAGAACCUCAUUCCUCAGCGCACCACUGCGGUUAAAAAUCAUUUAAUUAAUCAGAUGCAGAGUGCUGCUGAUAUUUGCCUGACUGUGGAUCUAUGGUCAAAUCGAUCCAUGAGGUCAUUUUUUGCCAUGACUAGUCAUUUCAUUUCAGAUUUUGAAUUGCAGAAUGUAAUGUUGAGUUGCCGGCGAUUCAAGGGGAGGCAUUCAGCAGAUAACAUCUGUGGUGUGUAUGAGGAUAUUUUAUCAACUUAUGGCAUUAAAAACAAAGUAUCAUUCAUUGUGACCGAUAAUGCAUCUAACAUUUUAAAGGCAUUCACCCUCUUCCCACCUAUGGCUGUUGUUGAUGAUGAGGAGGAGAUGGAACAAGAUGCCGUAUCUGAUCUUCAUGUGGUGAACAUUGAUGAGGAGAUGAUGUACUUCCCUCCAGAAAGAAGUCCGUGCUUUGUCCAUACAUUGCAACUUGUGGUUCGGGAUGCCCUGGAUCAAGUUGGGUCUAUAAAAAAUGUGCUAGAUAAAAUCCAAAAACUUGUGUCAUUCUGCCAUAAGUCUCCAGUGGCUACUGAAAUUUUAGGAGAUUACAAACUGUGUCAUUCAAAUGUCGCCCGCUGGAAUAGCCAGUUGAAGAUGCUGAAGUCAGUCCUUAACAUUCCCACUGGUGUCCUUGGUCAGCUGGAGUGCCCUGUUCAGCUGUCACCCACUGAAUUUAAGAUUAUGCAGGAACUAUGUGUGGUGCUGGAGCCCUUUGAGGAGGUGACAGACAGGUGUCAGGCAGAGAAAGCUGUAACUUCCAGCUUGGUGAUUCCGUGUGUUCGAGCCUUAAGGCACGCAGUCAGAAACAUGAAGAUGACUGGCAACAACAACUUGGUGUCCAUUCUGCAGAACUCGGUUGAGAGACAUCUUUCAAAAUUUGAAGACAUGCAAUGCUUUCAGAUGGCUUCCACUCUUGACCCAAGAUUCAAACUGGAUUGGUGUAUUGGUGAAGAGGUUACCACCAUGAAGGAUCUUCUCAUGGGAAAAGUUGAGUGUCUUUCACCAAAACUCAGUGCUGGAUAUAAUGACUGCAGUGACCAACCAAAGAAACGUCCUAAACUCUUUUCCUAUAUGGAGAGUCAGACUAGUCCAUCUGCUGUUGCCAGAACUUCACAUGAUGUCAUCGUAUACCUGAGUCAACCAUGUUUAGCAGAGGAUGUUGACCCUUUGGCCUACUGGAAAGGAACCCAAACCAGCUUUCCUGAGCUAGCACGACUUGCCUGCCGAUACCUUGCUAUACCAGCUUCCUCCGCACCUGUUGAGAGAAUCUUCAGUAUGGCGGGAAAUAUUUUCAGGCCGGGACAAUGCCAUGUAAAUGAUAAAACAUUUGAAGAUCUUUUGAUUAUUAAGUGUAAUAAUAUUGAACAAUGAGUUGAAUUGGAAUAAAGCAUAAUUGCAUUUGCUGUGAUGUUUUGCUUUUUGUUAGUACUAAGGUGGAACUGAAAGUCAACUUAAUAUACACUUGGUGGGUGAUCAAAAAAUAUAGCCCUAUAAGACAAUAAAACCUAAAAGAAAAACAUA